Molecule: ribosomal RNA, 447 nt
Filed under: uncultured bacterium
Lineage: Bacteria
Description: partial 16S ribosomal RNA
Rfam family: Bacterial small subunit ribosomal RNA
Source: RNAcentral
GCCAGACUCCUACGGGAGGCAGCAGUGGGGAAUAUUGCACAAUGGGGGGAACCCUGAUGCAGCGACGCCGCGUGGGCGAGGAAGUAUUUCGGUAUGUAAAGCUCUAUCAGCAGGGAAGAAAAUGACGGUACCUGAGUAAGAAGCCCCGGCUAACUACGUGCCAGCAGCCGCGGUAAUACGUAGGGGGCAAGCGUUAUCCGGAUUUACUGGGUGUAAAGGGAGCGUAGACGGCCAGACAAGUCUGAAGUGAAAAUCCAGCGCUUAACGCUGGAAGUGCUUUGGAAACUGCCGGGCUGGAGUGCAGGAGGGGCAGGCGGAAUUCCUAGUGUAGCGGUGAAAUGCGUAGAUAUUAGGAGGAACACCAGUGGCGAAGGCGGCCUGCUGGACUGCAACUGACGUUGAGGCUCGAAGGCGUGGGGAGCAAACAGGAUUAGAUACCCGUGUAUG